This 254-nucleotide ribosomal RNA is filed under the name Clostridioides sp. ZZV15-6383. Its description in RNAcentral is "partial 23S ribosomal RNA". It matches the Rfam family "Bacterial large subunit ribosomal RNA", at positions 1436 to 1687 of the family's 2925-position model. The record is from RNAcentral. Lineage: Bacteria; Bacillati; Bacillota; Clostridia; Peptostreptococcales; Peptostreptococcaceae.
UUCCUGUACUACCGAUAACCGUUUGAGAGAUGGGAUGACACAGUAGGAUAAGCUAAGCACACUGUUGGUUAUGUGUGCCCAAGCAUUGAGGCAGUCAAAGUAGGUAAAUCCGCUUUGAUAAUGCUAGUAUGUGAUGGGGAGCGAAAUUUAGUAGCGAAGUAGCUGAUUUCACACUGUCAAGAAAAGUCUCUAUCGAGGUUAAAGGUACCCGUACCGCAAACCGACACAGGUGGGUGAGGAGAGUAUCCUAAGGC